CAAUGCCGCGCUGUGCAGUUGCCCCGUGAGAAGGCCUUCGGUUGUAAAGCACUUUCAGUCUGAGGAAGGUAGUGUAGUUAAUAGCUGCAUUAUUUGACGUUAGCGACAGAAGAAGCACCGGCUAACUCCGUGCCAGCAGCCGCGGUAAUACGGAGGGUGCGAGCGUUAAUCGGAAUUACUGGGCGUAAAGCGCAUGCAGGUGGUUUGUUAAGUCAGAUGUGAAAGCCCGGGGCUCAACCUCGGAAUUGCAUUUGAAACUGGCAGACUAGAGUACUGUAGAGGGGGGUAGAAUUUCAGGUGUAGCGGUGAAAUGCGUAGAGAUCUGAAGGAAUACCGGUGGCGAAGGCGGCCCCCUGGACAGAUCUGACACUCAGAUGCGAAAGCGUGGGGAGCAAACAGGAUUAGAUACCCUGGUAGUCCACGCCGUAAACGAUGUCUACUUGGAGGUUGUGGCCUUGAGCCGUGGCUUUCGGAGCUAACGCGUUAAGUAGACCGCCUGGGGAGUACGGUCGCAAGAUUAAAACUCAAAUGAAUUGACGGGGGCCCGCACAAGCGGUGGAGCAUGUGGUUUAAUUCGAUGCAACGCGAAGAACCUUACCUACUGCUUGACAUCGAGAGAACUUUCCAGAAUGGAUUGGUGCC
This 642-nucleotide ribosomal RNA is filed under the name Vibrio sp. UST991130-022. RNAcentral describes it as "bacterial SSU rRNA". It matches the Rfam family "Bacterial small subunit ribosomal RNA", at positions 377 to 1018 of the family's 1533-position model. Lineage: Bacteria; Pseudomonadati; Pseudomonadota; Gammaproteobacteria; Vibrionales; Vibrionaceae. The record is from RNAcentral.